GUCCCUACGGGAGGCAGCAGUAGGGAAUCUUCCACAAUGGACGAAAGUCUGAUGGAGCAACGCCGCGUGAGUGAAGAAGGGUUUCGGCUCGUAAAACUCUGUUGGUAGUGAAGAAAGAUAGAGGUAGUAACUGGCCUUUAUUUGACGGUAAUUACUUAGAAAGUCACGGCUAACUACGUGCCAGCAGCCGCGGUAAUACGUAGGUGGCAAGCGUUGUCCGGAUUUAUUGGGCGUAAAGGGUGCGUAGGCGGCCUGCUAAGUCUGGAGUGAAAGGUACCGGCUCAACCGGUACA
RNAcentral lists this ribosomal RNA (293 nucleotides) under uncultured bacterium. RNAcentral's name for it is "partial 16S ribosomal RNA". It matches the Rfam family "Bacterial small subunit ribosomal RNA", at positions 335 to 620 of the family's 1533-position model. The record is from RNAcentral.